This 497-nucleotide ribosomal RNA is filed under the name uncultured bacterium. RNAcentral's name for it is "partial 16S ribosomal RNA". It matches the Rfam family "Bacterial small subunit ribosomal RNA", at positions 28 to 507 of the family's 1533-position model. The record is from RNAcentral.
GACGAACGCUGGCGGCGUGCCUAAUACAUGCAAGUUGAGCGCUGAAGGUUGGUACUUGUACCGACUGGAUGAGCAGCGAACGGGUGAGUAACGCGUGGGGAAUCUGCCUUUGAGCGGGGGACAACAUUUGAAAACGAAUGCUAAUACCGCAUAAAAACUUUAAACACAAGUUUUAAGUUUGAAAGAUGCAAUUGCAUCACUCAAAGAUGAUCCCGCGUUGUAUUAGCUAGUUGGUGAGGUAAAGGCUCACCAAGGCGAUGAUACAUAGCCGACCUGAGAGGGUGAUCGGCCACAUUGGGACUGAGACACGGCCCAAACUCCUACGGGAGGCAGCAGUAGGGAAUCUUCGGCAAUGGACGAAAGUCUGACCGAGCAACGCCGCGUGAGUGAAGAAGGUUUUCGGAUCGUAAAACUCUGUUGGUAGAGAAGAACGUUGGUGAGAGUGGAAAGCUCAUCAAGUGACGGUAACUACCCAGAAAGGGACGGCUAACUACGUG